This 355-nucleotide long non-coding RNA is filed under the name Sorghum bicolor (sorghum). Its description in RNAcentral is "long non-coding RNA (SBIC_LNC007224)". Lineage: Eukaryota; Viridiplantae; Streptophyta; Magnoliopsida; Poales; Poaceae. The record is from RNAcentral.
UUUUUUCUUUUCUGUUAAAUCACAGCUCCUUUUGACUCUUUUGAAACCAUCACUACCAGUCUACCACGGGAAGCCACCAAAAAUAUUUUUUUUGCAAAUAAAAAGUAAUUAUUCAAGUAAGGUUAAUACGCUAGCUAUUUCAUGGAAAAGGUGUAUGGCCUUGCUUAAAAGAACAAUGGUAUUCACGUUGGGUUCCUUUGUGGAAUAUUUCCACAUUAGUUAAGUCUUUAGAGUGUUCUGUAUUUUUUUUAAAUUUAUUCUGAGAUUUAACGACCAUAUUCUUUAAGUGGUGUGUGAUAUGUCUGUCAAUAGUGAAGUGUUCAUAGUGAUUUCAUCAAUCUUGAGAUUUGUUGGC